Molecule: ribosomal RNA, 2787 nt
Filed under: Lactobacillus delbrueckii subsp. bulgaricus ATCC 11842 = JCM 1002
Lineage: Bacteria; Bacillati; Bacillota; Bacilli; Lactobacillales; Lactobacillaceae
Description: bacterial LSU rRNA
Rfam family: Bacterial large subunit ribosomal RNA
Source: RNAcentral
AGGGCGCACGGUGAAUGCCUUGGCACUGGAAGCCGAUGAAGGACGCGACUAACCGCGAAAGUCUUCGGGGAGCCGUAAGUAGGCUUUGAUCCGGAGGUCUCCGAAUGGGGGAACCCAGCAUGUGCAGACAUGCUAUCCUUAAGUGAAUACAUAGCUUAAGGAGGGAACACGCAGUGAACUGAAACAUCUAAGUAGCUGCAGGAAGAGAAAGAAAUAUCGAUUUCCCAAGUAGCGGCGAGCGAACAGGAAAGAGCCCAAACCGCAGAUUUAUCUGCCGGGGUUGUAGGACUGAGACAUGGCACUUCAGAGGAUAGCAGAAGCGUUUGGGAAAGCGCGCCAGAGAGGGUGAGAGCCCCGUAAGCGAAAUCCAAAGAAGGCCUAUCAGUAUCCUGAGUAGGGCGGGACACGUGAAAUCCCGUUUGAAUCCGCGAGGACCAUCUCGCAAGGCUAAAUACUAACCAGUGACCGAUAGUGAACCAGUACCGUGAGGGAAAGGUGAAAAGAACCCCGGGAGGGGAGUGAAAGAGAACCUGAAACCGUGUGCCUACAAGUAGUCAGAGCCCGUUAACGGGUAAUGGCGUGCCUUUUGUAGAAUGAACCGGCGAGUUGCGUUAGUCAGCAAGGUUAAGUCAGAAAAGACGGAGCCGUAGCGAAAGCGAGUCUGAAGAGGGCGAGCAGUUGGCUGACGCAGACCCGAAACCAAGUGACCUACCCAUGACCAGGUUGAAGGCGCGGUAAAACGCGCUGGAGGACCGAACCCACGUAAGUUGAAAAUUGCGGGGAUGAGUUGUGGGUAGCGGUGAAAUUCCAAACGAACUUGGAGAUAGCUGGUUCUCUCCGAAAUAGCUUUAGGGCUAGCCUCGCAAAGAGGAUGCUGGAGGUAGAGCUCUGUUUGGACUAGGGGCCCGUCAAGGGUUACUGAAUUCAGAUAAACUACGAAUUCCAGACAUUUAUGUGCGGGAGUCAGACUGCGAGUGAUAAGAUCCGUAGUCGAAAGGGAAACAGCCCAGAUCACCAGUUAAGGUCCCAAAAUUCAUGCUAAGUGGAAAAGGAUGUGGAGUUGCGCAGACAACUAGGACGUUGGCUCAGAAGCAGCCAUCAUUCAAAGAGUGCGUAAUAGCUCACUAGUCGAGUGACGCCGCGCCGAAAAUUUACCGGGGCUAAGCAUGAUACCGAAACUGUGGAUGUGCAUUUAUGCACGUGGUAGGAGAGCGUUCUAGCGGCGGUGAAGCAUGACCGAGAGGACAUGUGGAGCUUCUAGAAGUGAGAAUGCCGGUAUGAGUAACGAAAGACAGGUGAGAAUCCUGUCCGCCGCAAGACUAAGGUUUCCUGGGGCAGGCUCGUCCGCCCAGGGUAAGUCGGGACCUAAGGCGAGGCCGAGAGGCGUAGUCGAUGGACAACAGGUUGAAAUUCCUGUACUGCACCGAAUCGUUAUGAGCGAUGGAGGGACGCAGGAGGCUAGCAGCGCGUGGUGCUGGAUACCACGUUCAAGCGUCAAGUCUGAGAGCGAGUCAAAUGCUUGCUCUCAUAAGGACAAGGCGUGAUGAGGAGCGAAAUUAAAGUAGCGAAGGCUGCGACGUCACACUGCCGAGAAAAGCUUCUAGCCAGAGACGGUGCACCCGUACCGCAAACCGACACAGGUAGUCGAGGAGAGUAUCCUCAGGUGAGCGAGAGAACUCUCGUUAAGGAACUCGGCAAAAUGGCCCCGUAACUUCGGGAGAAGGGGCGCUGGUCGCAAGAUCAGCCGCAGUGAAAAGGCCCAAGCAACUGUUUAUCAAAAACACAGGCAUCUGCAAAAUCGUAAGAUGAAGUAUAGGUGCUGACACCUGCCCGGUGCUGGAAGGUUAAGAGGAGAGCUUAGCGCAAGCGAAGGUUUGAAUUGAAGCCCCAGUAAACGGCGGCCGUAACUAUAACGGUCCUAAGGUAGCGAAAUUCCUUGUCGGGUAAGUUCCGACCUGCACGAAAGGUGUAAUGAUUUGGGCACUGUCUCAACGAGAGACUCGGUGAAAUUAUAAUACCCGUGAAGAUGCGGGUUACCCGCGACAGGACGGAAAGACCCCAUGGAGCUUUACUGCAGUUUAAUAUUGGGUAUCUGUCAAGCAUGUACAGGAUAGGUAGGAGCCGGAGAAGAUAGGACGCCAGUCUUAUCUGAGGCGCUGUUGGGAUACUACCCUUGCUUGACGGAUGCUCUAACUCAGGCCUGUGAUCCAGGCCGAGGACAGUGUUUGACGGGCAGUUUGACUGGGGCGGUCGCCUCCUAAAGUGUAACGGAGGCGCCCAAAGGUUCCCUCAGAAUGGUUGGAAAUCAUUCGCAGAGUGUAAAGGUAAAAGGGAGCUUGACUGCGAGAGAGACAACUCGAGCAGGUACGAAAGUAGGGCUUAGUGAUCUGGUGGUACCGCAUGGAAGGGCCAUCACUCAACGGAUAAAAGCUACCCUGGGGAUAACAGGCUUAUCUCCCCCAAGAGUUCACAUCGACGGAGGUUUGGCACCUCGAUGUCGGCUCGUCGCAUCCUGGGGCUGAAGUCGGUCCCAAGGGUUGGGCUGUUCGCCCAUUAAAGCGGCACGCGAGCUGGGUUCAGAACGUCGUGAGACAGUUCGGUCCCUAUCCGUCGUGGGCGCAGGAAAUUUGAGAGGAGCUGUCCUUAGUACGAGAGGACCGGGAUGGACGCACCGCUGGUGUACCAGUUGUCUUGCCAAAGGCAUCGCUGGGUAGCUAUGUGCGGACGGGAUAAGCGCUGAAAGCAUCUAAGUGCGAAGCCCCCCUCAAGAUGAGAUUUCCCAUUUCU